UCACUUAAUUUCUUCAAUUUUAAUUUGUACCUCCUAUGUGCUUUAAUUACAUUAUCUCAUUUGAUCCUAAAGAAAACCUAUUAAUCCCUUUAGUAAGGAAUAUGAAACUGAGAUGAAAUACAUAGCCAAGAAUACAUAGUCAUAGAACCAUAAUUUGAACGCACAACUGGUGUUACUAGUAAGCCUCUACAUUACACAAAUAGACCUUCUUAGGAGGAAACUUAUUCCUUUCCAACAAAUCUCUGCCAAGGCCUAAUUUGUUGUUUUAUGUUUAUGUUUGUUUAGGUAUGCCUUUAGCACCCCUGAUGAUUUCACAGAGAACAACAACAAGACCUGGGCAGCCUACAAGUAAGUGCUC
Non-coding RNA from Oryctolagus cuniculus (rabbit), 358 nucleotides. Lineage: Eukaryota; Metazoa; Chordata; Mammalia; Lagomorpha; Leporidae. The record is from RefSeq and is a predicted model, not a curated record.